RNAcentral lists this ribosomal RNA (819 nucleotides) under Bacillus atrophaeus. Its description in RNAcentral is "bacterial SSU rRNA". It matches the Rfam family "Bacterial small subunit ribosomal RNA", at positions 15 to 807 of the family's 1533-position model. The record is from RNAcentral. Lineage: Bacteria; Bacillati; Bacillota; Bacilli; Caryophanales; Bacillaceae.
GAUCCUGGCUCAGGACGAACGCUGGCGGCGUGCCUAAUACAUGCAAGUCGAGCGGACAGAUGGGAGCUUGCUCCCUGAUGUUAGCGGCGGACGGGUGAGUAACACGUGGGUAACCUGCCUGUAAGACUGGGAUAACUCCGGGAAACCGGGGCUAAUACCGGGAUGCUUGUUUUGAACCGGCAUGGUUCAGAACAUAAAAAGGUGGCUUCGGCUACCACUUAACAGAAUGGACCCCGCGGCGCAUUAGCUAGUUGGUGAGGUAACGGCUCACCAAGGCAACGAUGCGUAGCCGACCUGAGAGGGUGAUCGGCCACCACUGGGACUGAGACACGGCCCAGACUCCUACGGGAGGCAGCAGUAGGGAAUCUUCCGCAAUGGACGAAAGUCUGACGGAGCAACGCCGCGUGAGUGAUGAAGGUUUUCGGAUCGUAAAGCUCUGUUGUUAGGGAAGAACAAGUGCCGUUCAAAUAGGGCGGCACCUUGACGGUACCUAACCAGAAAGCCACGGCUAACUACGUGCCAGCAGCCGCGGUAAUACGUAGGUGGCAAGCGUUGUCCGGAAUUAUUGGGCGUAAAGGGCUCGCAGGCGGUUUCUUAAGUCUGAUGUGAAAGCCCCCGGCUCAACCGGGGAGGGUCAUUGGAAACUGGGGAACUUGAGUGCAGAAGAGGAGAGUGGAAUUCCACGUGUAGCGGUGAAAUGCGUAGAGAUGUGGAGGAACACCAGUGGCGAAGGCGACUCUCUGGUCUGUAACUGACGCUGAGGAGCGAAAGCGUGGGGAGCGAACAGGAUUAGAUACCCUGGUAGUCCACGCCGUAAAC